Molecule: long non-coding RNA, 277 nt
Organism: Pseudophryne corroboree (corroboree frog)
Lineage: Eukaryota; Metazoa; Chordata; Amphibia; Anura; Myobatrachidae
Exons: 3
Source: RefSeq, a predicted model, not a curated record
GCAGCAGCCGACAGCUUCACAGGUUAGAAGCUGCCCACUGUAGCCCCUCCAUGACAGUGUCUGGUGCACAGUGAGGGGGAUUUAAGCUGUGUGCAGCAACCACAGGAAUGUAACCAAACGCCCAGCAAAACCUGUAGUGAGAACAAAGUGGCCAACAUCAACCUUCACUUCAGAUUGAGGCACCACAGGGGCAGACAGGUAGAUAAUCAAAUAUGAGGAGCCCACACAAUUAUGGAUCUCUACAUGCAAAUGUAAAAUAAAUUAAGACAAAGAUGGU